Molecule: long non-coding RNA, 34366 nt
Filed under: Medicago truncatula (barrel medic)
Lineage: Eukaryota; Viridiplantae; Streptophyta; Magnoliopsida; Fabales; Fabaceae
Description: long non-coding RNA (MTRU_LNC005905)
Rfam family: MIR5272 microRNA precursor family (bases 12893-12966)
Source: RNAcentral
UUUUUUUUAAAAGUACACUUGGCAUCCUAUUAGUAAAAGAAUUAGUGAAAGAAUCAUAAUUGCAUUUAAUAUUUUCUUUAUCUACACACCAACAUUUUAAGGAAUAUUUUUAUAAUAUUUGAUAAUCGCAAUGAUUCAUUUUAAGGAAUAUUUUUUAUUUUAAAGGAAGAAUUAUUUGCCUUAACUAUGCAUUGAAAACGAGAUAAUUAACAAUUAUUUAGAAUUAUUUGCCUUAACGAAUAUUUGCACUAUUUUUUUUAUGGAAACCAAAGGUUUUUUUAUGGUUUUCUUAUUAUUCUUUUGAGGUUUUGAGGUUAUUAACAAUCAUGGUUUUUUUUGAGGUUUUUUUUUUUUAGGGAAUAUACACACCCUGUGUACGAAUCAUAAGUUAAGGUUUUCUUAUUUUUUUUAAUAAACAUUAUGACCUUAUUGUGACUAUCAAUUAAAAAAAUUAUUGAUAAUUAUAAUCAACUUUAAGGAUGCAUUGAAAAGAAAUCAAAAACUUAUUUAGAAAUCAUUGACAUGUUUUCUUUGCAUUAACUUCGGUGAAAAUAUAUGCCUCAAUUCGUGGAAGAAAAAAAAAUAGCACAAUUGUAUGGAUUCAUAAACAGAAAGGACAAAAAGAUUAGCAUAAUUCAUUGUUUUUUAAACAGAUAAAGUUAGACAGAAUUGUCGUAAAUAAUUAAAAAAUUAUUAAAAUUAAUUAAUAUCAUUUGUAAAUAUUCGGACGAUUAUUACGAUUAAAUCAUGAUUGCAACCAAAAAAGUUAUGGUUUUUUUUGAGGUUUUUUUUUUUAGGGAAUAUACACACCCUAUGUACGAAACAUAAGUUAAGGUUUUUUUUUUUUUUAAUAAACAUUAUGACCUUAUUGUGACUAUCAAUUAAAAAAUUUAUUGACAAUUAUAAUCAACUUUAAGGAUGCAUUGAAAAGAAAUCAAAAACUUAUUUAAAAAUCAUUGAUAUGUUUUCUUUGCCUUUAACUUCGGUGGAAAUAUAUGCCUCAAUUCAUGGAAGAAAAAAAAUUAGCACAAUUGUAUGGAUUCAUAAAUUCAUAAAUAAGAAAGAAAAAAAACAUUACAAUAAUAUUUUUUAAUUUCAGAAAAAAAACAAUAUGCCUUAACUUCGGUCAUAUUUUUUAAUUUCAGAUUUCAUAUUGCUUCCAAUAAUAUUUUAUAUUCAUAAAUAAGAAAGAAAAAAAACAUUACAAUAAUAUUUUUCAAUUUCAGAAAAAAAAAACAAUAUGCCUUAACUUCGGUCAUAUUUUUCAAUUUCAUAUUUCAGAUUGCUUCCUUUAUUUAUACAAUAUGACUCAUUUGUUUUUCAUGAGCCAAUCAAAAUGGAUCAUGACUCAUUUGUAAAUUAAUACAUGUUUUUUUUCCCUAUAUAUAGACAAUUUGUUUUUCAUCAUUUUCAUCAUUCUCCCAUAAAAAAUGUAUUAUGUAUUUUUAUUUCUCCCAAAAAAAAUGUAUUGUGUAUUUUUAUUUUCAUGGUAAUAGAUUAUGGGGUUAAUUUUUUUAUUUUUUAUUUUUAUAUUUGUAUAUUAGUUUCCAUUGGAGAAAUAUGGCUCCAUAUUCUGAAAACUUAUUCAAUUUCUCAUAUAAAUCCAUUAUAUAUUGUACAUCUCCAUGUAUGUUUUCCAAAUACGCAAGAUCGUCAUAUGAAACUCAAGUUCUAUAUAUUGUACAUCUCAAUGUAUGUUGUCCAAAUACGCAAGAUCGUCAUAUGAAACUCAAGUUCUAACGAGUUAUCACAUAGAUCUAAUCAUGUAAUGUAUGUUUUUCGGAAUGUUUAACUGGUCGUUCCUGAUGAUGCAGGUGGGUAUGAUUUUUUUCUCUCUCUUUUAAACUUCGUUGUAAUAUAUAUUUUUUAUUUGGAUAUGUAUUGGUUGUUGCUACUUGAAAUCAUUCUAAUAGUUGCGUAAAGAAAGAUUAAUGGAUUGGUCAUGUAGAUAAACUACAAUUCUGCAACUAAAAAUUGAGAUCACACUUCUUAUUUCAUUGUAUAAAAUCUAAUGACAUUUAUUGUUGUGCAAAGAAUAGGCUGAGUGAUCAAUUUGUUAUAGAGGCUAAUAUGUUAUAUGAAGUAAUAUUUUUUAUCCCUUAUUGACAAUAUUUUUGGUCUCAUGUACCUUCAGGUGAUGGUUUUGUGCCUCAGGUGACGUGGUAUCAUUCAUAUGUACACAGGCUGACGUUAAUGGAAUUUCUAUGGUAUUGAAAUAUCAUGACCAAUUGCAAUAGUUGCAAUACCUUCUCUUAGGCUCUGAAAUUAACAUUGUCUGAUAAAUUAAGGUGUUUAUCUACUGAGACUUCAGAUUUUUUAUUAUCUCAUAGAGCAACUCCAAUAUUCUCAUACUAUGUUUAAUUUUAUUUAUAAUGCAAGUAUUCAUCUGAUCUUUCUCAUUUUUCCUAAUGUAAGCCGUACUCUUUCAGAGACCAUAUUAUCAACUAAAUGUUUUGCUUCAGUUUUUAUACAAUCUGCUAUAUAUCUGUUUUUUUUUUUUUUUUUUAUGUUCUUUGGAGUGCCUAUGUCUAUGUCUAUGAACAAGACAAUUUUGUAGUCCCUUUUUUAAGCCUUUUCUGUUGUUUUUGUUGAUGGGUUAUUUUAUAAUAUGCUUAGUUAAAAAUUAAGCCUUUUCUAUUGUGUUUUUGUUGAUGGAUUAUUUUAUAAUAUGCUUAGUUAAAAAAAUGUGAUAGAUAGUUGGUAUCUUUGUCGAUGUUUGUUAUAUUAUUUGCUACAUUGAUUGAAUACUUAUUUUAUAAGAUGAAUCAAGUGUAUGCACGAUAUUAACUUUGUAUAUAUAAGGGUAUCAGCUAUAUAAAUCAUGGAAUUUGAAAGAAACCAUAUAUAAGGGCAUCUGGUAGAGACAAUUCAUUGGGUAGGGACAAUUAAUUGUAUAUGUAGUGGCAGACCUCAAGACUCCAACACCCCCAAUUAUAUGCAGAACAUAAAAAAAAAAAAAAAAGACUCAUGUCUCCGUGAUUAAUUUUAGUCAUCCGUGUAAAAUAUUUCAUCAUUAAAUACUAAUAUUUCGAUAUUACAUCCAUUAAAUCAUUCCUGUUUAACGAUACGAAAAUCCAAAUAACUAUAUAAACGUUGAUAUUUGUAUAUAAUAUACAAUCGAAAAUACGAUAAUGAUGUGUUCUAUUUAUAUUCUGUGUAUAAAAUAAUGAAUUUGUUGUUUAAUUAGAUUUUAUAAAAUAAAAAAUAUAGUCGUAGUUCUAGCCCGUGCUUGGCACGGGUUUCCAAGCUAGUUGUUAUAAAUUCUACAAUUACUCUUUGAAUGAGUAUUAUGAAAGAGGUCCAAGUUCAAUCUCUCCAUGUUGCUAUUGAAUAUUCUUCUACCCUUAAUAAAUUAACCAUAACAUUAUACAUGUAAACUAAGUCAUGUUCAUGAACCAACAUGACACAAGUGAUAGAUAAUCGUGUCUCUAAACCAUUUGAUUUAUAUGCACAACUUUUACUCUUGUUUAAUAUUGAAAAUCGAAUUUUUUCCAUAUGCAAGAGUCAAAAUUGAAAAUUUGACUAUUUGCUUAUAAGUGACUCAAAUCUUUUAUUACUUGAAUCAAUCUAUUUAUUGAUAGUAUUUUUCUUUCUAGCCAAUUACAGUUAUUCAACGACAAUUAACACAUCAGCCAAUUAAUUACACUAAUUUGAUUGUCUUUAUAAAUUCAAGUUUAUAAAUACAUGUUUGUUCAAAAAAAAAAAAAUUAUAAAUACAUGUAGAGGGUUAAAUAUAGAAUAAACUUUUUUUUUCGAAAAGUAUAGAAUAAAUUUGAAAUAAUACUACUACAUACGCAAUUUUUCAAAACUGAGGAGGUGUAUAUGCAUACCUCCACUGUCAAAUGAAUAGGAGGCCAUUGAUGAUACAGAUGUAAUUUAGACAUUUAUGUCCCUUUGGAUCCUCUUUUUCUUUACUUUUGUUUGGUGUUAUCCCAGGGUUCUCAAGGAAAAGGGCUAUGAUAAUUUAGAUUUCAGUCGUGAGGUAAGGAUAGGUUAGUCAAAUAUUGUCUCAUCUAAGAAUCGAAUUUGAGUUCUCCCAAACAAUUUAUACUUGGUGAAACUCAAUUGUCUGAUUGAUCAUCUUUUUCAAUCACUACCUUCUUCUCUUUUCUUUUAUAAUUUGUGUCAAUCUCUUGAUUUUCUUUUCUUAUAUAUUCCCUCUCUUGAUCUUCUUUUUAAGAUUUAAAGAGAGAUAGACACAAAUUGUGGAAGGAUGGAGAAAGAGUGAAUGGAAAGAGAGGAUUUGAAUCCGUUUUUAUUUCUGGUGAAGUUUUUAGGUGUGAUACUCAAUUUGAAAAUUUUAUUUUUAGGCCUCCUCAAUAUCUCUUAGGACCCCCAGAACUCCUUUUUAACCCUAAUAUAUAUGUUCGGUAGAUAAGACCCGGAAGCUUGGAAAACAGUGAGUUAUCUCCUAGCAGGUUGAGGACUUAUAUCCUCGAGGACUGUUUUAUAUAAUAGAAUAGUGAGCAAAAUUGUCACCUAUGUUAUUUUGGUGUUUCAAACUACGCCAUUUGCUCUUCAAACCUCCUUUUCACCCGAUUCUUGAUGUAAGACUAUGUAAUUUGUUUGAUUAUGAACAAAUGUAUUUGGUUCAAGUACUUUAUAACAAACAAUAGCACUUUGUUUAAUUUCUUUGUUUAUAUAAUUUGUUCGUUUAAGUCCUUUUCUCGAUCGUUGAAGUGUAUAUGUUUUAUAUGUGUUAACAUCCGGGAGCUACGAACUAAAGGGUUUGGGACAUAACUCUCGGAAGAAGAAAAAACAAGGUUUUAAACCAACGUCCGAGAGAUACAAACCGAAGUGUACGGGAGGUAUCUCUCGAAUAUGUAAAAAAUUGAACACUACAAAGGUUCUUUGUGUAUCGGACCCUCUAAGAUUUGAAUGUCAAUAAAUUAACAUUGAUAUAGGCUAUAUACAACCAUAUUCAACAUAUGCACUUUAAAACCCAAAAAAAGAGGACUUAAACAGAAAAAAUCAUGUAUACAAAGAACUUAAACAAACUAUAAAUGUUAGUCAUAAAUUACUUAAAUCAAAUGCAUAAGUUCAUAACCAAGCAAAUAAUAUAGUGUUACAUCAAAAAAAUUAGAUGAAAAGUAGGUUUGGUGAGCAACUGAAGUGGUUUGAAAACACCAAAAUAGCAUAGCUCGGAGUUUUGUUUAUUGUUCUGUCAUAUUAAAGAGUCUUACAGAAGAUAACUCUCUAACCCUCUAGAAGAUAACUUUCUAACCCUUCAAGACGUAUCUACUGAAUAAGGGUAAAAAUAAUCUGAAGGGCUAAAAUAUAUUGAGAAGGCCUGAAAAGAAUUUCUCCUCAAUUUAAUAAUGUGAUGAAGAUCUUGACUAUACCACGAUCUCCAAAUUAGAGGAUGUUGACUAUUCUUUGCAUUAUAAAUAUGAUCUUGUCAGAAAAAAUAGUCUCCCUCUAAUUUUGCUGAUUCAUGGCCUAAUAAAAUGUUUUUUACCUAAUAAUUUUCUUAAAUGUGAGUGUAUUAUUUAGUUGAAUUGUGAAUAUACUAGUAUUUAAAAAAAUUUAUUGUUUAUUUUUCAAAGUACAAAAAGAAAAAGUUUGCCCAACUUAGUUUUGAUAAUAUGAUAGUUAUUGGAACCUUAAUCUUUCUUACUGUAACUUAGUGGCCAGAAAUAAGUUCAAACCUCAACUAUAUAUGCAUUGUUCCUACCAACUCAGAUGAACCCCUUAAAUGAUUAUCAGUUAUUUUAAAAAUAAUUUUCUUCAUAAUUGCAUUUAAAUAUUACCUCAUACCUUGGUUUAUAAAUAAAUUGCAGAGUCAGAACCACUUAAUAAAAAUUAGUCGUAGUUUUAAUCUAAAGCUAUCUUACUCAAGUCUCAAGCAUUUCAAGCUAUUCCAAUUAGAGGGUCUUGAAUAUUCCAGGAACAUUAAAAAAAACUCCAUAUAUUAAUUCAUACAAUAAUCCUCAUCCAUAAAAAAAAAAAAAAAAAAAAAACAUAUAAAUCCAAGGUACUUGCACAACUUAAUAGCUUAUUCCCUUUACUUCAUAAGCUAACUAAUUAUCAUGCUAAAUAUUUGUCCACUUCAAGGCUCCAAUGUUUCACCACUUCAGCUUUGCAGGGAAGUACUGUAGCAAAUAAAGAUGCAUUAGUAAAAAACUUAAUAACUCUAGGCAAAAACUAUGGAAAAAACAACCUUAAUUUCAUACCAACAAAAAAAACAACCUUAAUAUGGAAAUAAAAGCUUUCUAGAAGUGCUUACCUUUUCAAUGAGGGAGAUAUAGUAUGGUUUCACCUUUUCAACAUCAACUCUAACUUUGCUCUUGCUGUAGAGAUCAUAUUUGCUACAAGUGAUUGAAAGUACAAGAAUUUUAAUGUUAGAGAAAACAUUAACCAAUAUUUUCUUUGCGGACUUAAUAAUAAUAAUCAUAGAAUGUUACUUGAAAAUGUGAAGCCAUUUGAGAUUCUCAACAUCCUCAUCAUUCAUCAAGUGUUUAUAGGCUCCUUCCCUAUGUAAAGCUGCAAAACAAAUUAUUGUGUCAAAUAAGAUUACAAAAUUGAUUUGAUUGGUUAUGAACUUUUAAUGUGAAUUUUUGGACAAGGGAAUUUUUACUUUUACUUCUAAGUUGAACUUACCAUAAAAUGAAUGGUAUCUUAUGAUGAACAUAGCAGCCGAGGGUAGAGUAGUCUUAUUCUCCUUUGCCACCUUAAAACAACAACCCAAAUUUAUUAAACUUUCUUCACUAUAUAUGAAAUAAUAACACAUUAAAUUGAAUAUGCUACAUUAGAAAGAAAGAAAGAAAAAAUCACUUGGAUUUAGAAAGGACUUACUAGAUACAUGUAGUCAUCAUGUCCCCAUGACAUCAUGACAUUGUUAAGUCCACAUUUCUCAGAGUAAAUCCCAUAUCUAGUGUUGUAUGCAGAGUUGUUAUAGUCUGGAUUUUCCUUAAAAUACUAGAAAUGGAAAUGUAACAUAUGUUAGGUGUUUAAUUUCCAUAAUUUGCUUCUUAAUUUUCUCCAUCUAAAUUGAAAAUAAGUUGAAUAAUUACCUUGUGGUGGACAAUGGAUUCAUCAAAUCUGCAACCAACUGGGUAUGUGUCGCCUAUACCAAUAUUGAAAAUGUUAAGAGAUCACACUUUCAACUAAAAAUUGACUAAUAUUGCAAGUUAUGUAUAUUAGCUAUAAACUAUAGUAUAAACUAUAAAUAAAAUAAAACACACUUUUAUAUUGAUAUAUCGGCUCAGUAGUGUCCGUGUUUCCGUUAAUAUUAUAUAAAUGAAACAUCACACGUACCUACAACAGCCCAUUGAGGAAGUCCCCCAAAACUCGGAAGGAGAAGCACUUUGCCAAGAUCUACAUUUAAUCAAAUUGGUUAAACCAAAAAGGGAAGAAAAAAAAAUAGCAUAUGCUAAAUUUCAAGCACAUGAAAAAAUAUAUCUUUUAUGUAAUGAAGUCAUAAUGUAUCAGUGUCCGUGUCCGAGUCUGUGCUUCAUAGAGUACCAUGGAUUAGGCCAGUUAAGUGCAGCCAAUCUUCAUUUGGGUAGUCCUUUCUUAUAGCUUCAGCUGUUUGUAGCAAAUGCUCAAUUUGUGGUUCAUCCAAGUCAGGGUCACUUUCAUCCACCACUUCAUUCAGAAGUUCACAACAUUCCCAUAUGCUCAUCUCUACCCUGUUCAAUUUCCCAUAUUCUUCUCUCAUUUUCUUCACCUGUAUAUGUUAUAAUGUUCAUAUUAAUAUCAUUUUUCAUACCUUCAUAUUUUUAAGUGUAUGCUAAUUGCUAGCACAAAUUGUGACAAAUGUGUUGUAUGUACAUUUUUUCAGAAGGAAAAAUAAAUGAAAGAUUUGUGGUAGAUGCUUACAAAAUCAAAGGAUUGGUAAAUGUGGUUUUUUCUGUAGAAGUUCUCCACUCCUUCUUGUCUCUCACUUUCAGCAGCAUAAUCCCUGAUUAAGAAUAGCUUAUCAAUGUAAGAUAAUUCUUACUAAAUUCUUUUAACAUGUGAAAAAAUGAAGAAUUAGAGGAUAUAUUCAUUUUUACUUUUCAUAGUUUGUGAUCCACGGUAGAAUUAGGCAAGUGAAAUAACAAGCAGUACCAACAUACCAAUUAAGAUUUCAUCUGUGAGUAAUUUUUUUAGAGUAAUAACACCACCAACACACCCAAAUAAGUGGUACAAACUUAAAAACAAAUUGCAACUUCAUUAUUCAUAUUCAUAAUAGUUGUAUUUCUUUUUUCUUUUAGAGGAAAAGUUGUGUUGUAUAGUAAAACAAAUUGACACCUUAUAUUACUGGUUGGGUCCUAAUAGGAAGCUUAAUGGGCCUGGCCUAAAGAACAAGACAUAGAAAUAGAAUAAUGAGUUGUGCUUUUUAAACCCCUAUAAUCAUUCAAUAGAUAACUUUUUAAUGGUGUUUGUUCAGUUUUAACAUCAUCGAAAGAUAACUCUCAUGAGAUAUUUUUCGGCCUAAAGAGAUAUUGAGGAUCUAAAAAGCACAGCUUAAAAAUAAAACUUCUUAAAAAUUGUGCAUUUAAAAUCUUAAAUACCUCUUCUAAAAAAAAAACUUAAAUACUUAAAAUUGCUUAAUACAAAAGUUCAUUUUUAAGUUCCUUUGUUAACUUUUUAAUUUGUGUCUAUGAAGUACUUCCUUCAAUCACAUUUAUAAGCAAAUUGUACUUUUUUAGAUUCAUUAAAUAAUUUAUGUAUAUAAACUAUAUUAUAUUUCAAAUACAUAAUUUUUUUAAUGAACAUGAAAAAGCAAAAUUUACUUAUAAAUGUGACCGAAGAGAGUACAUGUUAACAUCAUCUAUUUUUAAAACCACUUUUAUUUAGAUUUAUCCAUCUCAAUAGCAAAAAAAACACUAUAUUAUUUAGAUUGAUCAAUCCAAAUACCAUAUAAAAUAUAAAAAAAUUUCCUAUCCGAUCGGUAAAUCCAAUUGGGUUUAUUUUUUAUAGUGUGUAAUUAAUUACAAACAGUGAAUAGUGAGUAAGUUAUGAAGAAUUGAACCUAAAAGUGUGACCAAAUGAGUUGGCCUGUGGCUUAACAAAUCCACCGUCCAACACCAGCUCUGUCUCAUUAGCAACCACUGUCUUUGCCUCGACAUCAGAUCCUGUAAUAAUAAUAUUAUAAUAACUAACCAAUUAAUGAAAUUUAAUAAAAAAAAUACACAAUUUUGUGCACAUUUUAAAAUUUCAAUUCAACCCAAUUCUUGAAUUUAUAAUUAAAACGUUAAAAUAUGAAUUAUCUGAUUCAGAUCCAACGGUUUAGAUUUGUUUGGCCCACUAAAUUCACAAUCGCAUAUAAAUCUAGAUCAAUUAUUGAGACCAAAAAUUACAGAUUAUACACAUAUUACAAUCAAAGGAAAAAGUUACAAAAUCAUGAACAAAAAAAAAAAUAUCUUUCAAUCAAUUUUUUUUAAAACAAAAAUUACAAGAUAUAAAACUACUUUUUAUUUUGGUUUUGCCAGAGGAGCAAACAAACAUAUAUUGCACUAAAAAAAUGAAAUUUUCUACAAGAGAGGAAAACCAUAAAUUUUGCCAAAAAAAUUGAAAUUUUUGUGAGAGUGAUAAAAAUAAAAUUUUGCUAAAAAUAAAGAAGGGGUUAAAAAUUACCAAAAUAAUCAGGUUGAUCAAUGAGGAUGGUCAUGUUGAGGGUGAGAGAGUUGAAGAAAAUGAAAAUGAAAGAGAAUAAGGAAAUUGAGAUAUGAAGGGGUGGCUAUUGGAUUGGUGCUAUUUAUAAUUGGCCGGAGAGUCCUUCCCUGAGAAUUGAAACUUCUCAAGUCCUUCUCUGAAAAUCCUAACAUUAAAUUUUUCUUUGUUUCUUCCCAUCUUUAGGACAAACAUUUAUAUUUCUAGAUACCUUAAUAAUUUUAUUACUAUUUAUCACCAAGGAAAACCGACCUUCUACGUUUUUUAGAAAUUUCUAUUCAAAGAUAAAGUGCCAAACAAGUUGACAAAUCUCCAGUAGGACAAGAGUCCCAUAAGAACAAGUGUGAUUAUCUUUUGAUUUAUAUAUAAUCAUAAUAAUCUAUUCUUAUCCAAAUUUGAGUAUAUGUUUAGUAUAUCCUUUACACCUAACGUACUGUGAUGAUUACUUUAUAGUAAAAUUAAUAAUCUAACGUAGGUUGCUAAAACAACUUAGGAUCAUCACACAUAAGUGACAUAACAAUAUUGACUAAUCUCUGAUUAUAUUUUCUGUUUUGACUCAUAGAUUAUAGAAUGAUCAUCCACAAAAUUAUAGUACAUUUUUAGGAGUUCAAUUUGAACUACCAAGAGUUAAGCCAAAACAUACUUGUAUAGACUCAUUCACGUAUUUUUUUUUCGAAAGUAUCUUCAACUAAAAAUCAAAGAUCAAUCCUUCAUGAUUUAGAAAUUUAUUUAAGAGAUUGACGUUUUUUAAUGAAUAUUCUUUCAUACGUAAUAAUCAUAGAUCAAGCUCAUUAUCAUAUCUUAAUUCAUGCGAGUGAUUGUAUAUAUUAUAGAUUUAAUUUAAUUUAUAUACUUGUCAAUAGAUGGAACUCAUUAAUUACCACUUUUUUUUUGUCAAGUUUAAUCAAAUGUCUAACUCAUUAUCACAUUUAUUUAAGAGAUUGACGUUUUCUAACGAAUAUUCUUUCAUUGGCCGUAUCUUUUUUAUUUAGAAUUUUUAAUAAAUGUUUUGUCUUAACCUUUUAAUUCUAAUUUAUUGAUUAAUUAAUAUUAGUGUCUUGAAAUAGUUGUUUUUCUUUCAUAUAAGUAAAACUUGAGGUAAAGUAAGCACCCAGAAAAUGAUGCAUAAUUAAAAUUGAGGACUCUUUUUUUUAAGGACUCAAUUUAGUCAAAUUAAAUUUAAAAACUUAUAGACAUAUUAUAAUUUGGAUUAAACACAAAUCAAAAACUGAUAGCACAAAUCAAAAACUCUAAGAACAUAGCUGUAUUUUGAUGUGUAGUAUUCUGAUUUCUUCCAUGAAGACAAAAUGACAAAGGUUGGAGAUUAUGUGGGACCCACAAUGAAUUAUUUGUUUUGUGAUAAGUGAGUCAGCAAUGAGUUGGAUAUGAUAACAUCUGCAGUAAGUGGGGUCCAAUGACGUGGCACCAAGUCAAACAAGUACUGCACGUGUUGUUUUAUAAGGCGCUGCAAUUAUAAGCUGUUUUUUCCUCAAACAUGGUUUUCCUUAACCGCCCUUGUAUCUUUUCAGAACUCAAUAACAUGACACGUGUUGUUCAUUCAAUUCAACACGUACUAUUUAAGGUAUUUGUAGCCUUACACGUGCUAGGUUAGGUUUUAUAGUUCUUCCAAGUAAGUAAUUUUGCGAGAAAGAAACUUACAUUAAGCUUCUGUUCGUUGGUUAAGCGGCAUGAUUCCGCCUUAACUUAAAAGGGCCGCAAGUGAAUAUGUCGAUUAUGGUUGUUCAAUGUGAUUCUAACAUCGCGCAUGUAUUGGGUUUAGAAGAUGGGGUUGGGUUAAACUCAAUUGUGACGUCGUGUAAAAUAUUUAGUUAGUAUUUCAAAAUGUGACGAAAAUUGUUUUAGUAGUUAUUCUCGUAAGAUAGGCUCAUGUGACACGCUACAUGCAGAGAUGUGAGGCAAAUAUAUCGAUAUGGAUAUGCUUCAGAGAGAGGGGUUCACACCCCUACAAGUGGAGAGUGACUUAAAAGUUUUAGUAGACAUGGUGACAAGAAAACGUAAUCAAUGGAAAUGCUCUUACCUUCAUUCGGCGCAUUCGUGAUCUAAAAUGCAUGAGUUGGCAAGUACAAAUCAACCAUGACGUGAAGGAAAUAGAUUGGCAAAUUAGUUAGCUAAUUUUAGUCUAUCUUUAGUCUAUUUGAUUUACAUGUUAUGGAGACUUCUUCUAAAGAGCUUCAAUGUCUCAUUUUUUAUAACAUUUUUGACAUUUGCAUGCCUCAAAAUGUUCUUUUAAUCUUUAAUUUUCUAUUAUUAUUUUUUUUACUCUACCCUCUUCUAAUACCAAAAAAAUAUGGACAAUCAAACAUAUUUUUGCUUAUACAUAAGUUUUCAGAAAUAGAAAAGAGCAAUGCUAAAUCCAGCGGCAAUUGUUUUCCCGAGAAUUCCACGAACCGUAUUUUUACUUUAAGAAAACGUGCCUAAACUGCUCAAUCACCUAAAUUCUGGAUUUGGUGGAAGAAAAAAAAAGGCAGCUUGUUUUGUGCAGUCGCGAAGCAUUCGGGAUGAAAGUUUUUGUGAUAUCAAGCAUUAAGAAAUAAAAAAUUACAAAUUCGAACUUGUGUUCAUAUCAAAUGUCUUUAUAACAUUUUUCAAUUUAAUUUGUCCUAAUAAAAUCGUUUUAUUACAGGUUUUUUAGAUAAACAAAAUGGUUAUACCAUUAAAAACUCACACAUAUUAGUAAAGGAUUUAUAGUUCAAACUCUGAUCAUAAUGUCCAGCUAAACAGUUUUGAGGUGAAUGUGUACAUAGGCGGUUACUGAAGUAAUAAAAUAUCUAACUUUUAUGUUUGCAAUGUCACUUUCGUAGAAGAACGAAUGUUUGCAAUGUCCACUUGAGUGGAUCGACUGAAGAAAAAAAAAUCUAUAUAUCACCCGUGUGAAUAAAAGCAUUUAUAUCUUUCGUAUAAAUAGCAACAUGAGAGAGAAAAAGAGAAUUCAAAUUCGUGAGUUUAUUUCACUUGAUAAGGGUUCUACAUAAUAUAUCCAGAGGUCAGAGUUUGAAUUCUGAAUUCUCCAUUAAUUUAGAUGAAUUUCUUUAACCGUUGGGCUACUUGAUAAAAAGAAUAAUUAUCAUGUGUAAGGCGGGUACAAGUACAACACAUUACAAAAGUAGCCAUAUAUAUUGAUUGGAUUAUCCGCUAUAUCUACCUGACAUAGUUUAAACUUUCGGUUGUUCAAUUGAAAGAAAGGAAUUACUAUGUGUGUUUGGUAUGGCGGUGGCUAGAAUUGAUUCUGAUAUAAUUGAGUUUGAGAGAAUUGAUUUUGAUUAAAAGUGAGUUUGAGGUGAAUUGAUUUAUGUUUGGAUAAAAUUAUUUAAAAGCGAUUCUUAUGAGUUGAUGUUGUUUGAAUAAUUUGAAUUAAAAUUGAUUUUGAAUGUAAAAUGACCAAAUUAUUCUUUUGAUUAUAUUUUUUUAAAGCAUCCUUUUAAUUUUAUUUAAAACUACAUAUGUCAUUUUAAUUUUAAUUAUUACUUAUAAUAAAUGGAUUUUUAUUGCUUCAAAAAUUAUUUUUGAAAUCCCCUAAAAAAAGAAGUUAUAAUUAUUAUAUUUUCAGCACCAAUUAAAAUAAUAUUUAUAUAUUUUCAAAAAAUUUGACAAAAAUAAUUAUCAACAAAGGAUACAUUCUAGUUUAUUUUCUAAUCAACUCCAUAUUCCACGGCCGCCACUCCAUAGCUCGCAACUCCUUCCAUCUCUUUAGAAAAAACAAGAUCUCCAUUUUAUAGAUCCUUCAAUUUCUUGUAUGUAACUUUAACUUCUACCAAAUCGAUUUCCUCCCCAUAUCUCUGAAUAUUCUUUUCCCAUCUCAAUAUUCUGUGACAGUCUCAAGGUUACCAAGGGGAAGAUAUAUGUGUAUCGCUGUGAAUUCCAAAGAGAAAGGGCAACAUGCAAAUGGAAAUUUGGGUGAAGUGAAGAAGAAUUUUAUGCGAACAUGGGUAAUUAGGUAAAUUACACUUUCAGAGAAAAACGUGAUUGUUGAAUCUUCCGUAGAAGUUCCGAAUCUCAGCUUCAGGAAAACUGCGUUCUGAGACUUGCUUUUUCAUUCAUCCAAACAACAUGAAAAUGGGCAAAAUGGCUUUUGACAAAAGUAACCCACGUUUGAAGCCUAAAAACGUGUUGUCAAACACAUACUAUAUAGUGUGAGAAACAUACACGCGCUUGACACACUAAACAUGAUAGAUGGUUGUAUUAUAUUUUCGAAAUUAAUAAAAGUAAAAGUAAAUGGCAAUCCAAUCCAUAUCCCAUUUAUUCGUUGUCAUUGUUGUCUAUCAAUCUUUUCUCAUCUUUUCCCUUAUAAAUGGUUGAAAUUAUUUUAAGAGUUUAACUAGAGCAUUAUGACAAUGUAAAGACGUUUUACCAAAUCAACCAAUUAAAAUUAUUCUUUUAGACACAUCAACGUAAGUGUUAAAAAUAGAAAGAACAAAAUCAAAUAAAAUCUUUCCUAUGAAUUGCCUUCUUCCUACUUCUCUUAUUUUACAUUUUGAUGGUAUCUCUUUUCCAUCACCAUAAUCAGGUACUACACUACCGCCUCUUUUCACCAUUUCAAACCUAGUUCAUAUUUGUUGAAUGAGAUCAUGAUGAGCUUCUCCAUUUGAUUCUAUUUUGAUUUGAAGAAAUGAGUUUUAAAACCUUUUUGGACCGGUUUAACCUCAGAUAUCAUACCAAUUUCAAGGAGAUGUUAAUUUAAAAGAAAGAAUCAUAUCUCUUAAAACUAUACCAAAAUAAUUCAUUUAAUUGAUCGAAAGGGCCAGAACACGAGCACACAUGAAAGUGUAAACAAAAUCAAAUAAUUUCAUCAUAACCAAUUCUUACCAUUUGAAUAACAAUGAUGAAGUAAUUCUUCACUAAUUAAAGAAAUUUCAUGAGAAAGCCACCAACGUCCUAAUAUCUUAAUUAACUAAGCAACGCAUCUUCAUAGAAUGUUGAUGAUGAGAACCACAUGGAUCAAUAUCAUAGGAGACGGAAGCUAUCAAUACCGAAAAAAGAAGAACUAGUUAACAAAACAGUUAUUAAAGAUUUGAUUUGGAUUCUUCCAUUUUUAAUUCACUUGUUCUUAUGUGUCAAAAAUAUCAAUUCUAAUUGCUUGACAGUGUAAAAUGGCUUUACACCGAGAGACUUUGAUACCAUGUAGAAAUUUAAAGUCUAACUCAUCUUUAUAAAACCAAUUUGUAAGGAGAAGAUUGCCCCUCUUAUAAACACAUGUCAUCUUGUCCGUGUGAGUUUAACUCAGUUGGUAAGGACAGACAUAAUAUAUGCAAGGUCUGGAGUUCAAAUCCCAGUCACCACCAAAGAAAACACAUGCCAUCUUUUGUCCGAUACGAGACUUUUAACACUUUCCUCUAUCUUAUUUGUGGGUCAUUAUGAUAUCUAGAAGAUUGCUCCCUAAUCCUUUUUAUGUGGUCACCGAAGAUAAUUAAGUUUGGUUUUCGUUCUGCAUUUUGAAAUGCUCAUAUUUUAUAAUUUGAGUAAAUUUCAGUUUACCCCUUCUAUAUCAUCAAUUUUGUACCGUCAAAAUUCAUGAAAGUUUAAAACUAAAAAUAUUCAAAUUAUAAGGAUGCAAUCUAAAAAAAAUUACAGGAGAAAAAUCAAAAAUGACCUAUGUUACAAGUGUAAAGCAUUUUGAAAGUUUUGUAGAAAAAAGUUUCAAUGUUCUAUUUAUUCGUUACACUCUUCAUUCGUUUUAGCCCCUCAAGGUUAAUACUCAUCAGGAAUCGUAGACAAUUCAAUUUAUGCCCUUGUGGAUACAUUACUCAAUUAAACAAAAAAUCAAAAAUGCAUUUUAAUGAAGUUUUCAGGGAAACUAAGAUGAAAGCAAGUCCACGUAGCGAAGUUCAGUGGACAGAAAAUUUCGAAUGAUAAUUAAGAUUGUUUUUGCUUGCACUAUCAUUCCAUGUAAUGACUAGAAUGAAAUGUCAAAGUUUGAUACCAUCUCACAGUGAGCCUAAUAGAGAAUAUUUACAUUCAUGGUGAAGAUAGUAACAGAACAACAUAUUAUAGACCAAAUAAUAACAUAAAGUUAACCAUCUUUUGGGUAGGCCUUCCCGAAAGGAAUAAACAUUAAUCAACUUUUCCUGUAACUAUCAAAAUUUCAUUCUUUUUGCAGGUCCUUGAUCAAGUAUGGGAUCAACGGUAGGUGCUAGUGACUCAGCUGCUUCCUGAGUUUCAGGGCCUUUCUCAGUUUCUGCUGUUGAAGGUGGAACAUACCCUUCUGGAAAUGGUGGCGGAGGCGGAGCAGGUGGAAGCUGCAGCAGCAAAUAAAAACUCACUUACAAUCGGCUAUUUGUUCAGUCUUAAAUAGUUAAAUGUGGUAAAAUUGUAAUAAUAUUUUACGUUUAACCUAAGUUUGUAUUUAUCAGCAAACUCACAAUCAUAACUACUUAUUUAAAUUCCUAUAGUUAGGAGGACAAGCUGUGUUGGGAAAAACCUCUCAUUUGUUGGUACAAAAGAAACAUAGAGCAAAAGGAUCACCAUCUUUUAAUUUUUACCAGGCAAAUAACUUUUUGACAACACAGAGCAAAGAGAAAAUAAUUGUUCUGUAGGCUCAUAUUGAAUUAACAAAGAAGUAAUUAAUUAUGGACCAAGACUUCUAUUCUUCUUAGUUCUUAUGGCUAGAUCGAAUCUCUUGGCCCUGUGAAAAGGAGAAAAAACUUCAUGUUCUUCCACUCAGAAAGGAAGGAUUAGGAAAAUACUAUUCACUUUUCUUCAGACAACAUGAAAACAAUGAAAAAAAUCUGUAGCUAUUAUUAAUCCCACUGUCAUCCUAGUAUGAAAGGGAUAAUCUCAUAGUUAUAAUACUCCAAAGUUGUAAUAAAUAAAUUAAAUGCGUAACAGUCAACCCCAUAAAAGCUACAGUGAGAUAACACACAGCAACAAGGCUGUUAUAAAGAAAUUUUAGAUAAAGCUUAAAGAAUUUAUAUUACAGAUAUAUAAUUGCUUAGAAAAUAAAAAGUUAAUUUAAAACUAAAUAUGCAUUCAUAAUCAAAAUGCUCGAGUCUUGAGCUAAUACACAGGAUAAUAUCAUUAUCAUUACGAGUAACCAAUGAGGAGUCAGAAUACUCAAAGAAGCCCUAUGGUUAGGAAUAGAAUAGUUUGACAGAACAUAAAAGGACAGGCCUGCACAUGAAGAAUAGAGGAUGUACAGUCAGAAACAGAAAACCGAGCAUGUGGAGAAUAGGGUGCGGGUGCAGGUGUGGCAUGUUAUGCCCGGAAACCACAGGGCUUGGGCAGAACAAUGCGGUGAACAUGAGAGACUGACUAAGGGUUUCUAACUUUCUCUAUGUUUCUUACUAAUCAGUAAGAUUAUGAUGAGAUGGGUAAAAGGACAGUUUUCGAUUGCCAUCAAAGUUGCAGCUGCAAAAGACGUGAUUUACCACUUGUAUGGCAGCCACAACGGGAAACUCGAAGUAAUGCCAGGAAAUGGAAGCCACCAAGGUAGUCAGGAACGAGUGCUGGCACGUAGGUUCGUCCGUUCCUACGUGCUUCCCACAGCAAAACGUGCUUCGAGCUUGCUACGAUUCGUUUUCCCCAUGUUUGUGGUCAGGAACGAGUUCCUGAAGCAGGAACGUUAAAAAAAACGAGCUGGGCUUGGCAAAAUUGAUUUGGGCUUCCCGAACCGGGUCGGGUCAAAAUAUCCCGGUUUUAAUAAAUUAAUUAAAACCUAGAAAUUCAAUUUUUCUCAAUCUUCCUCACCUAACCCUAAAAUACAGGAACGGCGGCCAUGGCAUUUUUCUGGCGAAUUUCUCGCUGUUGUUCUCUCUGUAGCCCGGUUUCCCAUAGUUCUCUCUCAUUCUUCACUUCCUUUUUCGUUUUCCUCACUUAAACUCUGUUUUCCUUUCCUUCACUUCCUUUCCAGUACUCUGUUUCUGUUUCGUUUUCAAUCUCUGAUUAUGACUUAUUAAUUAAGUUUAAUGUACUUAUGAGUUCUAUGUUUUUUUGUAUUAUAUAUUAAUAUGAUUGUGUGUGCGUGUAUGAGAAAUUACAAUUUUGCCCUUGAGUGGGUUCUUACGAACCGUGUUACGUUCCCCGACUUUACGUCCCUUCACCAGCCAAUCGAACCUACGUAGAAACUCGUUCCUGACUACAUUGGAAGCCACUAUUCAUGAUGUGUUUACCCAUGCAAGCAUGCGAAUAACAAUCAUGUUUUAUACUUUGAUCUUUUGAUUAAUUGGAAGGAUUAAAUAGGAGGAUAUUAAUUUACUCAAAACUUUUGACAGAAUGUAGAAGAUAAUCAGUUUAUAAAUGUUGAGCAGUGUUAUUCAGUACGAAUAAUAAACCUCAAAAAUCGCACAAAAACAAACGUUUUUUUAUUGAUUUUCAUAAAAAUAAAUAUUGACUAAAAAUAGAAAAAAGUAAAUCUUGUUUUGCGGAAAUCGCCGUGACUUUUGUGGGUGUUAAGAAUACAUGACAUAAAGCAUUUUCCAUAAAUAGUUCAUAUUAUUUCAUAAAUAAACAAUUUCAUAAAAUACUUGAGACACAAGUUUUAAUUCAAUAUUACCUAUCCCCUUUCUCUUUUAUUAAAAUUUUAAUAAACCUCUAAUGAUGUGCUAUGUGAUUGUUUGAAAAGUAAACAAUGGAAAGAAUAUAUCAACUCACCUUGCGUUGCAAGGAAGCAAGAAUAUGAUCCACUCGCUUAAUUUCUUUUAAGUCAAUUGUCUCCUUAGCCACCUUUGGUUCCGGAAUUGUAGUCUCAUUUUCAGAAUCGACUAAACCAGAAGAAACACAAUCCGUUAAUGAGCACAGAAUCAAUAAAUAAAAAAAUCAUUGGUUAAAAAUUUCAACAAGAACGUGAAUUGGCAGGCAGAACAUAAGAUAUAAUGGAAUGCAUGAAAAAUAAAAUGGCAAAGUAACAAUAGCAUCAUUUCCUUGCUUGCCCACAGUUUGCAAAUAGCAACAUCAUACUUGACGUAAAUGAAACAUCCUAUACCUCAACAAAGUUUUCUAGUAAUUAAACAAAAAUUUAAUAGCCUAUCUAGCUAUCCCCUUUCAAUGGAAAAAGGAAGGAAAGCUACAAAGACUAGGCUUUUACAUAGUUUGGUUUUACGAGAAAACCGAACCACAAAAGCAGCCAGAGAAAACCGAACCAAACUGCAAUUGUUUCACCUGAACCAAACCAAACUGGUUAUGUGAUUCAGUGCACUAUGGUUUCAAUGCUGAACCAAACUGGUUUUCAGCAGAUUAAAUUUUAUGUUAUUGUUUUCAAAAUCCAAAAACUAAAGCCACUCACUAUGUAUCACAUAGUAAUUGCAGAAGAAACUGAAUUGAAGUAGAAUUGAAACAACAUAGCAAGAAACACAUGUCCCAUUAUAUGAAUAGUAUCAGCUAAGUGCUAACCAUCACAUCGUAGUAGCAAUAUGACCUUGUGAUUCAAAAAGAAAAAAAACUUCAAUCUAUCAAGAUUAUGCCUCAAUUAAUAUCACCAUGAGAUGAUAUAUCUAGGGGAUAUGAAUUAUCUCAUGUUACUGUUAUUGUUCUAAGGCCUGAAGCUUGAUUUCACAAUAGAAGGUUCACAGUUGGUCGCAGUUCACCGAAUUCUAAGCAUUACAAGUUCAGCUAGAGAACUGACAUAUUAAACAUGAUUCAGUUAGUAAAUCACGUUAGCAGAUCAGUUUGGUUCAUUUUGGUUCUAAAGAGUUAUUUGAACAGCCCAAACAAACACUGUUAACUAUAAUUAUAAAUGUAUAACGGUUCUACAUAAACAAAAUUGCUUACUAAAGUUGUAUCGCUUCAGCAAUACAAUUUUUCAAAUGCUGCAAAGUUUCUAUCACAUUUUUAUACAGGGUCUAAGAAAGGUCCACAGCCACACUAUGGGCCGCUGACAUCAAAGUUUUGAACAUCUCCACAAUUGCAACGCAACCGCAAUUAAACAACAUUUGACCAUGAUUCUCCAUCAUAUAAAAAAUCAUGACGUAAUCGCAAUUUAAAACCUUGUUUUCGUGAGUUACAAACAUUUUAUUUUCCCAAAACCAAAAGAGAAAGAAAAAAAUCGAGCUUACCAUAUCCUAUCUUCUCCAACUUAGAUGCGGCCGUAGUAAAUGCUUUUUCAAUAUAAUAUAGUGCCCUUCCCUACAAGAUCAAUGUCACAAACAGUAUUAAAAAAAACCCAAACCAAAUAUUAAAAAAAACUAAUAAUUUGAAAAAAUCACAUAAUUCAGUGUAAUUACAAGUGUCGGUGUCGGACACGAGACACGCCUAAUCGAAUGAGUGUACGUGCUUCAUAGAAUUUAAACAUUGUAAUAGAACAUACAAUUCUAGCAGCAAAAACAUUGGAUAAUUGAGGAGCUUGAUAAAUAGAACCAUCCAAAAUAUAAUAAGCAAGCAUUGGAGUAACUUUAUCAGGACUAUCCCUCUUCUGCUUCUUCAUAAUAAAAAGAUGAGGUUCCAUAACUUCACUCAACACAUAUUCUAUACCAAUCAUUUUCCUGAAACCCUAAAAAUCGUUAAGAGUGAAAAAAUUGAAAUUAAAAUUGAGAAUGAGGUUAUGGGAAUUACGUACGUGAGUUGAGAGGAAUCAAGUGGAUGAUGAGAACGCAUUCGGAGUUGUUCGUUGUUAGAAGUCCAAUCGUAGAAAGGUGAUAAAGCGAAGUAAUCGAAGACGAGGUUACGAUCGAGUGGAUAUGUGUUUAGCCAUAAUUGAUCUCUGAAGCAUAUUCCGGUCAUGUCUGUUCCUGGUGGUUGCGCCGUCGGUACUCCGCCGUCUAACAUUCCCAUUCCCGGUGUCGCCAUCUCCGGCGCCGAUUCUCUAGAACUGCUGUGAUUUGAAACGAUUAAACACGGCUCAAGCAGAGUUCAUAUUAAUUCAUAUUUUAUUAUUAUAUAAGCUAAAAUAAUAUAUUUUUGACUAUAUUUUACUACACCAAUAAUUAUAUUCAUUUUGAUGUUUUAUCUCCUUUUAAUUUAUUUUAAUCAUUCAUUUAUUUAAUUUUAACUAUAUUAAUUAUAACUUUCAGAACAAAAGAAGUUAUUUAGAUCGUUCAUCAAUGAUAUAUAUCUUAGAAUUUGUAGAAUAAAAUCAUAUCCUUGUGCAAUGCUAUGUUGGACAAUUGUAUCAUAAAAAUGAAAGUAAUAAAAUGUAAAUCUAUUUAAAAGAUUUUGGAGGAUUUUAAUAAUUUUGAUGAUUUUAAAAGACUAUUAAAAUUUAUAAUUUGGAUUUCAAUAGAUUUAUAUCAUAAGAUUUUAAAGAAUUUUAAAUGAAUAUACAAAUUUAUAAGAUUUUAUAAAUUUUAAGGACUCGUUGAAAAGAAAUGAUCAUAAGACAUAACACACUCUGUCUUACAAUAUUCUCAACACAAACUAUUUUAUUUAUUAUACUUUAUUUUUUUUACGAGAGAGAUACAUAGAGGAGAGAGAGGGGGAAGAGAUAGGGAGAGAGAGAGAGAGAGAGCAUGAGAGGAAAAAAGAGAGGGUGAGAGAGAAGGGAGGAAAGACGGGAGGGAAGACAUAGAGAGGGGAGAAAUACACUAAAAUUUUAAAAGAAAAAACAAUUUUAAGAAAUCUUAUGUUUGCAUGAAAUAUUUUUUCAUGCUAAAAUUUCACUAGAAAAUUCCACAAAUUCCAUCAAAAUCUAAUUUAUUAAAUAAUCUUUUGAAACUUGAAUGAUUUUGAAUACCCCAAGACUUUUUUAAAUGAGGAAAAUUUUUGAUUGAAUACCACAAAAUUUAUUUUAAACGAUAAAAAAUCUUGAGAUUAAAUACCACAUGACUUUUCAUAAUAAAAAGUCUAUUAAAAUCUCUUAGAAUCUUAAUCCAAUACACCCCCGUAAAUGUUAGUGUCGUGGUGGUGGUAUGAGAUAUCAAACACUAACAUAUGUGGGACAUUAAACACGACUUAAUAUAAAGUGUUAGUGUAUGUUUGGUUCCAAUUUUGGAGGUGCUAAAAUUGAUUCUAGAUUUAUACAAUUGAUUUUGACAUGUUUAUUUAUGCAAAGUAGAAUUGAUUUUGCCUCAAAAAUUGAUUAGACUUGAAGCUAGCAAUCUAGCUUAUGAUUCUUGAAUUAAUUUUUACACUUAAAUUUAUUUUUCAACUCACUUUCUCAUAAAUAUAUCCAAACAUAAAUCACUUUACCUUCAACUCAAUUAUAGCAAUAAUCAAUUUUAAAAAAUCAAAUUUUCUCACAUACACUUGGUGCUACAUGCAGUAUCUAGUUUUGCUUUUAGUAGUUUUUUAUUUCGAAUAUCUAGUUUUGCUUUAUACUGAAAACGUCUUCGUGUGUGUUAGUGAAUUUUUAGAUCACACACACCUCCAAAAGGAAAUUCAAAAGUUUGACAAAUUGAAAAGUGUGGAAUACUCUAUUGGGUAUUGCUGAUGCACUUAUUGUCACUUUUUUAAAUUAAGGUCACAUCAAUGGUUGCAUUUGCGUCGCAAACUCUUGGGUACCAGAGUGUUCACCUUAUUUACAACCUUGUAUAUUGUGAUUUCAAGCGACACCUGCACCACUUGAUGAUAUUAUCAAGUUUUUUAUGAAUGAAAGAUGGGGGGUAUGCAGAGAAGACCAUAAAAAACCUCGUCCACAAUGUUUUUAGUGGAUACCCUUUUGAUUCAUUAUAUGUUUUGCUACUUGAGGUAUCCACUAUCACUAUCACCAGAACCUCCACCAUCAUUUGUCAUAUUGGCCCUGUAGUAGUUACUCUUUUCAACAAUGGACACCCUUUUGGAUGUUCUUUCAAAACAUAUGAUACAUUGUUUUACUAUUGCACGUGCAUACCUCAUUCCUCUUAUCUCCCUUGGGCCCACAAAAGACAAAAGUUUUCUAUUUGUUCUGUACAAUGGACGUUAGCUUAAAAAUUUGUUGAUACUAUAAUAAGAUCAAGCAGGGACGGAUCCACCAUAUGACUAUGUGUGGCCGUAGCCACACCAGAUUAUCGUUUUUGAUCUUGUGUGAGAUAGUGGCGUCGUUAACUCUAUAUUUUGAAUGUAAGUUCUUGAGUUAGGCUCAGUUGGAUUGGUUUCUUGAUUAAGGUAGUUUUUCAACCGAAGUAUGUAUAUAGUUCCGAGAGCUUGCGAAUAAGUUUACAGGUUGUGAUAGAGAAGUUAGAUAAGGAAGCUUCUAAAAAGUUUGAGGUUGAAAUUUUAGCCACACCAACAUCAAAUGUCUAUAUCCGCCCCCCUAAGGUCAAGUAAUGAACAUCAACAUCUAAUUAAAGCUUUUAUUUAUAUAUAUGCUUCUAAAACUCAUACUUGUCCAAUGAAUAUGGACAAGUAAAAUAUAGCAGGUGGAUGGAUCAUAGAAAGUUAAAAAGAAGGAACAUAGAGUAAUUUAUAUCUUUAUAAUGGAAACUAGAAAAUAGUCUCAUCUCAUUCUCAAUCAUGAAUUUUAGAGGAAUCAUCUUUGUGUUGAGAUGUGUUGCAUGGAAUUUCACAUAAAUCUUCCAUGUUGCAAGGAAAAGAGUUACCAAUUUGCAUGUCAGCUACCAUUUGACGAAGAUCAAAAGUUUCUUCUUUAAGUCGUGCAUUCUCUUGAACAACUGUGUCAUGUGACUCAGACACAUGGUUUAGUUUGUCAACAAGGUUGUGAUUUUCAGUUCUGAGUUUCAUCACUUGUGACCAAAGUUCAUCCAAGUGUUUUUGUUUCCUCAUCCUUGAUCUCCUAGCUGAUUCUCUGUUUGAUAUCAUUCGUCGGUGCUUCCUUUCAUCGAUGAUGUUAAACUGAAGUUCAUCUGCUUCAUCAGAAGUAGUUGAGUUGCUGCUUAAACAUGAUGGGUAAUGGAAGUUUGGUAAGCUGCCUAAAAGAUUAUUUAUAUGGUAAUUUGGAAUUUCAUUCUGUGGUAAGACAAAGUUUGGUUGAACUUGGAAUGAAUUCUCAGGAGGAGUUAGAUAAUUGACUCCUCUGAUCUCACUAGGAACCAUGGCUAGAAUUUUAUUAGACUUUGAGGGUAUUGUUGGAAAUUAAUUAAUAUGCUAAGAGUUUGAUAUGAUAAGAGAACUGAAGAAUGGUGUAUGAGAAAUGGAUUGAAUUUAUAGGAAGGUGAUGGCAUGAAAAGUGGGACCAGAUUGAGGAAUGAGACAUAUAGUGCCUAGGGCUUACAUGAGCAGAAGUUUAACAAUUAUUGGGAAGUGCUGAUAGUGUAUGAAUGUUUUGGUAUGAGAUAGACAUUAAUGAAAAGACUACUUUUUAUCAUAUAAGUGGCUGUCUAGAGUCCAUGUCAUGAAACUUUUGGUUAUUUAUUCUAUAUGUAUGGCUAUGGAUAUUAUUACUAUUUUUACUGGAUGUAAUUUGUUAUUUAUUACUGUUCAAAUUAGUCAUUGCCAGGAUGCUAGUGCAGAAAUUCAUUGUUUGCUACAGCAGAGGAUAUUACUUAAAGAUUUGUAACAACUACUUACUGCUGUGUUAAAAUAUAAUACAUACAUAUGUUGUUCUUAUAGAUAAAUAGUCACGCAUUCAUUCAUUCCUGACUCUUGCGUACAGAGAAAAUUCGUUCAAAUAGAGAAUCCAUUAUAUAUCCAACAGGUCCCUCGAAGAAUUGAGAAAAUUCGGUUGAAAUAAAGAAUCCAUUGUAUAUCCAACAAGUUCCUCAAAGAAGAUUAGUCGCCGUUAUCAAAGAAAAUUGUGAGAUAUAUAAUUGAAAAUCCUAUAUAAAUUUUGUUUGUGUUGAUAUUAUAUAGGAAUAAAAUUGUUGCUUGAAUUCUAAUAAUUUGCUGUAAAAUUAAAAAGGUGAGCAAAACCAAAAGGUUUUAAAUUUUAAUUUUUUGGCCACGGUUAAUUUGCUGAUGUUAUGAGUUAAGACGUGUCAAUAAUGACUAAAUACUAAAUGUGAUCUAUAAUCAAGGCUUGAUUAAGUAGCAGCAGUGAACUAAAUCAAUAUAUGUUGUAUGCUUCUAUAUGCAAUUUAAAACCAAAUUAUUAGCACCUAAAAAUAGUGCUUGUGUCAAUCCUAUAUAAGAGUUGUUUAUCUUGGGGUCCCUACCCAUUACAUAAGCAAUUUUGAAAAUUAAAAACUCUUAGAACUAAUAAUUUCUUAUGAUAUAUGACGGCAUGAAGACCAGUUUAAAAGGGUUCCUUCAAAAAAAAAAAAAGGGUUAAGAAUUUAUAUUGUAUGGUCAUUAGUAUUGUAAAUUAGAUGACUCAUAAGCCAUUAACAUAAAUUAUUUGAAGAAACCUAUGUUGGAGCAAAUGCUUUUUAAUUUAAGCAAGUAACAUCUUGUACCUAAAUUCUAGUCAUUCUAUCACAUAAGUAAUCAUUGUGUUAACAAAGCACUUUGUCAUGAUUGUGGGAAAACUAAUAAGCUAUGUUUAAAAUAACAAUUAUCCAGUUACCUUCCAAGAUACAUACCACACGACACUUGAAAUUUUUAAUUCUAUUUAAAACGGUUUCCAUCAAAAUUUGUUUCAAGAAGAACCGAGAAUAGAGAAGAAACAUGAAUACCACGGUGCUACGGCGGCGGAGCGGUGGAACAAGGUGCUUCCAUGAAUCAUGUUCAACUACGAAACUGAAAUAUGUUUUUUUUUUUUUUGGGUUAGUCUGAUGAAUACGUGAGGUGUUUGAGGUUCGACCCCUGAUCCUGCAUAUAACAAUGACAUUUUUUUUUAGAUUUUUUUAAUUAAAGAAAAUACUGAUUUUAAAACCUUUAAUCUUGGCCAUUAAGAAUUUCAAGUGCCAUGCUUUUCCUUUCUAUCUCAUCACUUUUGAAUUUUAAUGCUUUACGUUAAGCUAUCUCUAAAUUCAUUGGAUGAGAACUGAAUAGCACUAUGUGCCUGAGGCCAGUAACACUUAUUAGAACAAGUUUAUGGUAUUACACUUGUCUCAAACACACCGUAAUAACCAUCACAAUUCAUAAGGGUCUUCAUCGCUCAACAAAGUGAUUAUGUUCACAACAUAUUAGGAGCUGCCAAAUUUGUUUUCUUCUCUAAAAUAAGUACUUUAACUUUUUUAUGCUUCCCAUUGUUGUUGCCUAAUAUACCUUAUUAAUCCUAUCUCGUUCAAGGCAACAAAAAGUAGAAGUAUCUUUUCAAUAUGCAUGAUUUGAAUAUAGUUAUUGAUGAUAGGUUUGUUAUUUUGCUAAUUUGUCUAUUCUUAUGGCCCACUUGCAUGACAUGAUAAUAAUGAAAACAUAUAUAUAGCACAAAAGAUUUGAUCAAAAAAGUUUUGGAAAAUUUUAAGAGGCUAACAUUAAGGUUUUAUGUUUUUUAAUUUUCCUUGGAUGAGAGUGGUUAUAUUAAUUACAGCAUCGUAACACUAUAUAACUGUUAGGUGAUUUUCCACUAUUGAACGUUCCUUUAUUUUAAACUAAUCUGAUUAGGGUGAAGUACAAGAUAGUUGGUAAAACAAAACGGGAAAAAAAGUUUGAUAGUGGUGAAGUACAAUUAAAGAACGUUAAUAAACCAUCUCAAAAAAGGUCAAUGCGUUGGAGUUUAUGUGGAAGAUCCUUUGUAAAAAUCCAUUGUACUUGUAUGAAUUCCUAGGGCACAGAUCAUAGUGCUUUUUUUGUUUGUCAAGUAGUUGGUUAGAAUUCACCUUUCUUUAAAGUGAAUAAAUAGGAUGUCUGAGGUUCGAACCACGGCCCCUGCAUAUAACAAUACAUGUCUCUGCCAAUUGAGUUAUGCUCACGGGACGGAUCAUAGUGCUUUGCCAUUAUCUAAACAAUUACUACUAGAGUAGAAAGAUCAAUUUAGCAUCCCAUGCUCUCCCAUGGAUUGUAUUGAGUGAAAAUAAUUAGUCUCUCAUAUGACAAAUUAAAGUUAUAUUUUUAGAUCUAUUUACUUUAUUUUUUUUCGUUAUAAGAUAGUGCUUUGCCAUUAUAUCUUAUAUUUUAGAUCCAUUUACUUUAUUUUUUUGAUAUCUUUUUAUUUUUAAUAAAAAAAUAAAAAUUAUUAGAGAAACUAUUAAAAAAGACUUAGAAAUUAAUGAGUUUGAUUUAAAUAUGAUUUAUAAUAAAACAUUACGACGUAAUUUGAUUUAUGUAGUCGAUCUCACUUAGUGAGAUAAGGUUUGGUUGUUGUUGUAUUUAAAAAUAUAUAUAUAUAUAUAUAUAUAUAUAUAUAUAUAUAUAUAUAUAUAUAUAUAUUCUGUUUAAAUAUUAUGAUAUAAAAAAUUGAAAAUUAAUCAUUUAUUUAUUUUAUUUAAAAAAAAUAGGUUAAUAAUUUAAAACAAAUUAUAACGAGCUGUGCUUUAGAUGAGAAAAACUCACAUAAGAUUCCUAACAACACUAAUUGUACUUGUAAGGAUAUAUUAUGUAGAUAGUCGAAUGACUCGAAUCCUACGUAUAUUCAUAAACUACGCAAAAAGUUAGCUUAUGACUACAGAACAUGUUAAUUUAGUAGUUGCAUAACGACAUAAAGGAUAAGAAUUAAAGAGAACAAAAUUGAAUAAUCCAAAGUGUUAGGUAUGAAUUUCCAUGAUACCUUUUCUGCAUUGGCAAAGCUUCCAAAGAGACAACUAGUGAACUAGCCAGCAUUUUCUUUUGGAAACCGUAAGGUGGCAAUCUAGCAGUUAAUCUAAAUAUAUAAAUGUUAUCUAAAUGGGGAAUGCAUCAUAAACAAGACAAACCGAUAUUGUUUAAAAUGUUAAAUGUGCAAAUGGACUUUUUUUGUUUGAGGAAAUUGUUGAGUUUACUUUUAAAAAAACGGUCCCUCACCCUGUGUUAUAACUGAAGUUAAAAAUAAUUUAGAAAAUUGUGUGAGCCACAUAAGAGAUUGAUUACUAGGAUGAAUAGCUUAAGAUGUUCUUUUUAAGAUGUUUUGUGGACCUAAAAAAAAAAAGUUCAACACAGAUUAUCAAUCACGUCGUCCUUAAAUCUAUCGAAAUUUUAAUGCAUUGUACAAUAUUUUCUAGAAAUACGUAGUCUUCAACUCGAUCUCGGACAUCAAAAGAGACAACAUUUUCUUAGGUGUUUACUCAAAAAGCUUGUGCAUCAAAGGCCCUUAACGUUUAUACCGAUAUAAUGAACAUUAUCAAUAGUUUUUCCUAAAAUUUCAAUAUGAGUGUUUGCCACUUCUACAUUCUCCGAGGUAAGUCCAUCAUGAACUAGGUACUCUACUCUACAUAGAGAGUAGAUCUCAUUAUGAGUUUAUAUUCUCUCAUCCUUUUAUCGCCUUAGGAACCAUUUUUCUUUUGAUUUAUUAUAGCAUGUUCAUCUCAUACAACUUAUUAUGACUCAUUGAACCUAAUUCUUGGAAUCUUCAGUCUUUAAGGUCGGGUUACCAUUACGAAUGAUUCACUUUUUGAAAAGCAUUGAUCCCAUCUUUUUUUAUGUUUAUAGGAAUUUCUCUCUUGCUAAUCCUUUCUUCAAAGGAUCACCUAAUUUUUCAUCAAUGAACACAUGAUCCACUCUAACAACUCCGUUUGAGAGUAACUCUCUAACAAUGUUGUGCUUACCACAUAUUUAUCACCUCAACUGUACUUUGUAAUAAAGGUUCUCAACUUUUGCAAUAAUCGUUUUACUAUCAAAGUGGAUCAACAUAGCUAGUAUAAGUUCUUCCCAUAGAUGAAUCUCAGUUGAAAACAAUCUCAACCAAUUUGCUUCCUCACUAGCUAUUGGUAGUACUAUUAUCUCAGACACCAUAGUUGAUUGAACCAAUAUUGUAUGUUUCUUAGAUUUCAAAUAAGCAUGUCCUUCAACAAUGUUGAAUAUGUAGCCACUAGUUUCUUUGGAAUAAUUUGAUAGAGUGUUACAAUCAGCAUCACUAUCCUUCAAGGAAAGCGGAAAACAUUUGAUAACAUAAUCAGAGGUUUAUGGGUUUUUUUUUUUUGUAUCUUUUGACCCUUUCAAUAGCAUGUAAAUGAUCAAUAUUAGGUCUACUGAUACACCUGCGCAAUAGUUCCACGACAUAGAUAAUGACAGGUCUGGUAUACUAUGGCAUAGUCGAGGUUGUAAAUGAAGCUUGCAUAUUUGGAUCGUCUUAUACUUUCAUCUGUGCUCUUAAAGAGUGAUCACUUAGAUCAAAAAGUGUGAAAUCAUGUUUACAAUCAAAGUAAUUGUAAUUGUAUUCUAUAAGAUCUUAUGAACAUAAUACUGAUCCAAAGACAAUCCAUUUUCUGACCUAGUAAUCUUAAUAACAUGAAUUAUUUUUACUUCUACGAUGUUUCAUAACAAAGUUGUUACACACCAAAGACUUCAAAACAUUUACAGCAUGAAUUAUGUUUGAACUAAAUAAGAAUAAGUCGUCAACAUAUAAAUAUAUGAUAAUGCAAAUGCUACUUUUAGAUUUAUAGUAAAUACAUUUAUAACUUUCAUUCAAUUUAAUCCUAUUCAAUAUCAUCAAAUUGUCAAACUUUUCAUGUCAUAUCUUAGGAUUACUUAUCUAACUUUCGGACCUUAAUUUCUUGCACAUGAAGUACAAAACCUUCAUGUUGUUCUAUAUAAAAAAAAUUCUUUCAGAUCGCCAUUUAGAAAAGCAGCUUUACUAUCCAUUUGAUGUACACCAAAAAAUGAAUAACAACUAGAUAUAUUAGAACCCUAAUUAAUGAUGUACACCAACUAUAUAAAAAAGAACCCUAAUGAUGUAGACCAACUAUAUAUAUUUCUUGUGACCGGAGAAAACAAAAUUAACACGAGAUACGUACAGAGAUGUCUUCCUGUUCAAAAAAACAUACACAACUGUCUUUGGAUUUUCUUUUUAUAAAGAAACCAACUCCUUUGUAAUUAAACUUCACCAUAUACAAGAGAACUGUAUCGUCCAUUACGAUCCUAUUCAAUUUAAAGAAUUAAUCUCCACAAAUGAUACCCGUUCAUGCCAAAAAACUUCACCAAAUGCCAACCAAAUAUACAAAUCCAAUAAAUAAAUAAAUAAAAGAACCAAUUUUAUUUACACUACAAUUAACAUUAUUUUGUGCUGGUGUUCUGGUCCACUCUCAUUAGUGGUCUAUGGAUAUAUCUAGCAAAAAGAGAAAGAGGACACCCAACAAAAGUGACGGAGAGUGUUGGGUACGGAGGGGGACUCGAUUUAACGGCUGCACAUUUAUGUGCCAACCAUAUAUGACUUACAUUGUCCAAUUGAAGACCAACUAGUGAAAAACAAAUACACCCUAGCUAAUUUCAAUGGAUAGCAAUAACUAGUGAAACAUGAUAUAAUGUUUUUAUGUGGGUCCUAAUUUUCACAAACAAACUAUAGCAAGCGUGGGAUAGCACUUGUGUGACAUAGAAUUUGUGAUAUUGAUGACAUUGGCCAAUCACAAUGUCAUAAUGUUUGUGUUUCUCUCUCUUUCACAAGUAUUGUGACUUGUGAUUGGUCAAUGUCACUAAUAUCAUCUAACUCUAUGUCACGCAAGUGCUACCAGCAAACAUGGGUGCUACUUGUAUGGCUAGUGCACCAGCACCAGCACCGCCCAAGCAUCCAAUUGCUAAGCUGUCAACUCAACCCACCCACACCAUUUUUUUUUAAUUUUUUUUUUGCAUUUUAUGAAUUCGAAACUUGUUUUUCUCCUAUUUUUGUUGGAAAAAUAAGUUUUUAACCAUUCAAAUUAUAAAAUUCUAACAAACAAAUAGUUCAAAUUUUAUAAACCGCUUAGUCCAAAUGGAAUGACACGUUUCUUAUUUUUUCGGAUUAUAAAUUUCGAACUAUUCCAUAACUCAUCUUGUGCCAAGAAUUUAGGGAAACAUUGGUUCGAAUUUUAUAAUUUGAACUCUAUUCGCACAAACACUAACUAUCAUAACCCCCUCAUUGUGUUUUAGAUCAUUGUUAACUGUUUUCAUCGUGUCCCAGUCGAAAAUCCAAUUUUCAAACUCUUUGAUCGUAUUGAUCCUAAAAUUGCUCAGAAAAAUAAAAAUAUAAUCAAGGAUCAAGACUCCAGUAAGUCGCUCCUCAAAAUCCAAAAUUUCAUCGUUUAGAUUUUUUUUUUUUUAAUAUUCUCAUAAAAAUACAAAAAAGUUUGCAUUAGCUUUAUUUGAGUUUUUCAAUUUAUUGGUGGUAUUUAAUAUUUUUCCUGAUUUUAUUUGACAUGUUUUAUCUUCUUCUUUUUUUGUUGUUUUCAAAAGCAAAGUUCAAAAGUACUUAAAUGUAAGAAAUUCUGACCGUUGUUUAUAUAUUAGCAUAUUUCGAAUCAUAAUCCAAAACUCCCUAAAAAAAAGUUUGGAUUAUAUAAUUCGAAUAAUAGUAUUUUUAAAAAAAAAAAAUAGGGCCCUUGGGAAAUGCAUAGUGUGAAAAGUAAUAACAUUUCAUUAUUCUCAAUGUUUUUCUCUUGAUCCUUUACACUUACAUUAUAUGUCAAUUCUAUGAUGCAUAAGUAAGAUUAGACUUACACACUAUGCACGAGUUUAUUUUCAACAUUAGAUCAAAAAUAUUUACCGUUGAAUUAAAUGUCAUAUGAUAUGAUUUGGGUGACAAGGAAAAGGAAGCAACUAUAGUAGUUGUAUAGGUUUGGGACCAUGAGCAGCCAAUGUUAUUUAUUGCUCCUCUGUUGAAUUGUUUUCAUAUAAUUUAUAAGUUGUUUUCAUAAAUUCUUCCAAAUAUUGCAAAUGACUAUCGAUUUUAUAGACAACUUGUGGAAGAUUGAAAACCGAAUCUGAAAAAACCCAAAAAACCAAAAAAUUGUGCUUGUUUCCUAGAAAGGGAAUGAAAACUAAACAAGGAAUCAAUAUGUAAAUAUUUGAACUAAUCAAAAUUGCCAUAUGCAUUCAGAGUCAUCUUCAUUGACCAGUGAACUUCCAUUCCAGUUAAACCACAAAUAAAUAUGUAAAUAUAUACUCCUUCCGUCCCGUAAUAGAUGAUCUAUUUGAAAAUUUGCAAUUUUGACCUAGCUUACUUUGACCAUAUUUUUCUACUAAUAUACAUAGAUAAAUAAUAUCAUAUAAGAUGUCGUUAGAUUCGUCUCAAUGAGUAUUUUCAAAAUAUCAAAUUUUCAUGAUUUUUUCUAACAUAUUAUUCAAGAUAUUUAAGCUCAAAAUUAUGUAUUGGAAUGCGUAAUGGAGUCAACUGUAUUAUGUAUUAAGGGACAGAGGGAGUAUGAUGUAUCACUUUAUCUAAACAUGGUUGAAACUACACAACUUCAAUCAAAUAUUGCACUAGUAGUCAACAUAUAUAAACAAUUAAUGAGCCAGCAACAUAUAGGACGUGAGUUUAGUGCAAUCAACCAAAAACAAAACUAAACGUAACAAAAAUGUGCAAUUCGAGUGUUGGAAUUAUUGUAAUAUCAUAAAAUAGUUGUGUGUUUAAAUUUGACCAUGUCAACUAAAUGUGUAUAUGUAUAUGUAAUCGCAGAGAGUUUGAUAGAAUCACGAUAGAUCACCUAGAAUUUUUUAAAAGGCUACACACUGUAAUUUUAACAAAAUCAUGGUGCCACCGUGAUAUUCUCAAAUCUCAUAGAUGAUCCAAACAUGCAUUAUUAGCUUAGCAUCGUUGAGACAAUAAGAACCAAACAUCAAGUAGAUCAAAAUGUAAAUGAACUAGAAAAGAUCAUACAAAUAGUUUGUAUUAUAUAUAUGAACAAUUCAUCAUCCAUUACAUAUGAGACGAUUAGAAAGAUCAACAAGUAAACAAAAUGUAAAUAAAAGGAAUUAUGAAUGAUCAAACAAUAAUAUACAUGUAAUUGAACAGUACAUCACUGAUCAUAUUAAACACAAAAUGAUACAAUGAAUAGAGUUGAUUAUGUAAAAGCUUUUAGAUGCGCAAUGAGAAAAUGAAGCCUUUAUUAUACUAUGUUUCUUCGAGCGAUUUGUCAUCAAACAACCGUUUUGCCUUGUUUUCAUUGUGCAAGUCACAGUUUCUAUAAACAUGUAUGCAAAUCAAUCGUGGUGUUUAUCCUAUCUUUAAAAGAAUGUUUCCUCUAGUAGUAUUUUUUACUCACUCUGCAAAGUUAAGUACAGAAAAGGACAUAUAGAUGUGUUGCAUUUCAACACCAAAAAUUAUCUAGUUUUUGUUAGCUAUAUUCAUUGAACUUAUAUGUUAAGAUUUAAUUUUUGUAUUUCUUGUUUAAAGUCUUGUUAAUGCAUGUGUAGCUCAUUAAUUUGAAAUUAGCUAUAUUCAUUGAACAGAGAAAUGGCAAAGGCAGAAGUUAACAAGUCCACUGAAAUUAGAGGACAACUCUUAUUUUUGCUUCCAAAAUGCAUAAACUCAUCAGAUUAAUUUACCAUAUCAUUUAAAAUAGUUUCAAGUAGUGACAACAAAAUACAUUCAGAACUAAUCCAGUCAGGGGAUAGGUAGCUCAUUUGGUUGAGCUAAAGGUCGAGAGUUUAAAUCCUGACAAGGGAGAAAAUAUUAACAUAUUGUCAUUAAAAAGAGAACUCAAUCCAGUCACAUGCAUAAAUAAUAGUGAAUCACAAAACUGACAAUAUUUCCGGUAAGCAUAUUACGAAUAGUUAACCAAUAAACAUUUCAUGACAUAUCAGAUCAGCUCCUGUCGCAUACUAACUCAUGCAGUCAAACACAUAUUAGCCUACAAAUGCAGCCACCCGAGCUAUACAACAUAACUAUAAAUAUCAAGAAAAUGGUGAAUGAGAAUAUUUCAAAACCUGAUUCUUCUUAUUUAUGUCAUCUUCAUAAACUUGCUCGAGGUCAACAUGGGGUGAAAGCAAAGACUCUGUAUACAUGGCCACUUGGCGUACAUUUCCACGUCCCUUUUGGUACUCUAACAGCUGUCCUUUAUCAUUAUAUAUACUUCACCAAUCCACCGUCAUAACUAGAUCCAAUAAUAUCACCACUUUUUGUAGAAUAUAUUGGGGAAAAGAAACAAAUGUUACGAUCAAUAGGAAUUAGAAGAGUCUUAGUCCACGACGACGAAUGCAGUUUGUAUUCUUUCAUCACCCAUAUUUCAACUCUACAAUUGCGAUAAUCCAUGCCCCAUAGACUGAGAAAUUCUCCAAAUACCCACAAACCAUAACUUACAGACAGGUUCAUAGUCAAAAUCAUUGGGAAGAGGCAUCUCUAACAAUUUCCUUUCCAUUAAAUCAAAGACAAUAAUAACAUCCACUGAUAAAUCAUUACGACGAGCAACCCAAUGAAAGGCCUCGUUAAAGAAUAACCCUACUUUGACAAUAGGAGCAGCAUUGAAAUAAAUAAAGUGAGGAUCCUCAAUUUGAUUCCAAGCAUUAUCUCUCAAUGAGAAAAGUUCAUAAACAUUUUCCACAAACACUUAAUCCACUCUCAAUGUGAAAAACUCACUCUUUAAUCAAAAACCUUAACCCCAUUCAGAAUUCAACACAUUGUCUUAAAACUCCAAAACGACGACGUUGUCUCUAUGUUUCUUCAACUGGGUCCAUACUCAUAGCCCCAGAAGCAUAUGGGUCUGUGUCCUAAUAUUGUUUCUUUUAAUGCUUUGAUUUAUGAUUAUUGUACUAAUGGUUUACUUGGUUUGGAUUUAAAGGUUAAGACUUUAAUGAUGAGGAAUAAUGGGGUUAUCUUAUGAGAGUUUUAAUACUCUCAUAGACAGAUACAUGGCUCCUGAUUCUAGUUUUACUUCACUUGAAAAGGUUUAAAUUAAAGAUAAAAUUAGAAGAAAAAUUGAUAUACAAAAAGUUGGUAUCCUCUUCAAAUAUAGGUAUAGAUGAUUUUGUUAAAAUUCUAAAUCAACUAGAUGCCCUCAAAGCACGACAAGUGCAAGAUAUAGAACAUAACAAUGCAUGCUAUUAUUCUACACGAAAUUUUCUUCUUACAAUGAAUAGUGAGACAAACACAAAACUAUCCUAUAAGACUAAAUAUGAAAUUGAUAAUGUAUAUGCUUAUAAUCAUAAGACGGCUCGGUUAUUUAUCAGUCAUCGCCACCAAGAUCUCCCCAUCUUACAUUGUGCCUUGCAGCAAGGUAGUGUGCUCCAACCGGUCCUCUGCUACCAUAAGGAUAAAGCUCUGGAGCAAUCUUCUUGUUUUCAAUUUCUUUUAGCAANNNNNNNN